AGGCUUAACACAUGCAAGUCGAGCGAGAAAGUAUCUUCGGAUAUGAGUAAAGCGGCGGACGGGUGAGUAACGCGUAGGAAUCUACCUAGUAGAAGGGGAUAGCCCGGGGAAACUCGGAUUAAUACCGUAUACCUCCUAAGGGAGAAAGAGGGCCUCUCUUGAUGCUCUCGCUAUUAGAUGAGCCUGCGUAAGAUUAGCUUGUUGGUAAGGUAAUGGCUUACCAAGGCUACGAUCUUUAGCUGGUCUGAGAGGACGAUCAGCCACAUUGGGACUGAGACACGGCCCAGACUCCUACGGGAGGCAGCAGUGGGGAAUAUUGGACAAUGGGCGCAAGCCUGAUCCAGCCAUACCGCGUGUGUGAAGAAGGCCUUAGGGUUGUAAAGCACUUUAAGCAGGGAGAAAAAGUUAUAAGUUAAUACCUUAUAACCGUGAUGUUACCUGCAGAAUAAGCACCGGCUAAUUCCGUGCCAGCAGCCGCGGUAAUACGGAAGGUGCAAGCGUUAAUCGGAAUUACUGGGCGUAAAGCGCGCGUAGGUGGUUUGUUAAGUUGGAUGUGAAAGCCCUGGGCUCAACCUAGGAACUGCAUCCAAAACUAACUCACUAGAGUACGAUAGAGGGAGGUAGAAUUCAUAGUGUAGCGGUGGAAUGCGUAGAUAUUAUGAAGAAUACCAGUGGCGAAGGCGGCCUCCUGGAUCUGUACUGACACUGAGGUGCGAAAGCGUGGGUAGCGAACAGGAUUAGAUACCCUGGUAGUCCACGCCGUAAACGAUGACAACUAGCUGUUGGGAGACAAUGUCUUUCAGUGGCGCAGCUAACGUUUUAAGUUGUCCGCCU
RNAcentral lists this ribosomal RNA (834 nucleotides) under uncultured Gammaproteobacteria bacterium. RNAcentral describes it as "bacterial SSU rRNA". It matches the Rfam family "Bacterial small subunit ribosomal RNA", at positions 44 to 874 of the family's 1533-position model. The record is from RNAcentral. Lineage: Bacteria; Pseudomonadati; Pseudomonadota; Gammaproteobacteria.